Molecule: ribosomal RNA, 301 nt
Filed under: uncultured bacterium
Lineage: Bacteria
Description: partial 16S ribosomal RNA
Rfam family: Bacterial small subunit ribosomal RNA
Source: RNAcentral
CAGCAGCCGCGGUAAAACGUAGGGUGCAAGCGUUAAUCGGAAUUACUGGGCGUAAAGCGUGCGCAGGCGGUUAUAUAAGUCAGAUGUGAAAUCCCCGGGCUCAACCUGGGAACUGCAUUUGAGACUGUAUGGCUAGAGUGCGUCAGAGGGGGGUAGAAUUCCACGUGUAGCAGUGAAAUGCGUAGAUAUGUGGAGGAAUACCGAUGGCGAAGGCAGCCCCCUGGGAUGACACUGACGCUCAUGCACGAAAGCGUGGGGAGCAAACAGGAUUAGAUACCCCGGUAGUCCCUGUCUCUUAUAC